RNAcentral lists this ribosomal RNA (793 nucleotides) under uncultured bacterium. RNAcentral's name for it is "bacterial SSU rRNA". It matches the Rfam family "Bacterial small subunit ribosomal RNA", at positions 8 to 796 of the family's 1533-position model. The record is from RNAcentral.
AGAGUUUGAUCAUGGCUCAGAGUGAACGCUGGCGGCAUGCCUAACACAUGCAAGUCGAACGGUAACAGGCCCGCAAGGGUGCUGACGAGUGGCGGACGGGUGAGGAAUACAUCGGAAUUUGCCCAGUCGUGGGGGAUAACGUGGGGAAACUUACGCUAAUACCGCAUACGACCUAACGGUGAAAGCGGGGGAUCGCAAGACCUCGCGCGGAUGGAUAAGCCGAUGUCGGAUUAGCUAGUUGGCGGGGUAAAGGCCCACCAAGGCGACGAUCCGUAGCUGGUCUGAGAGGAUGAUCAGCCACACUGGGACUGAGACACGGCCCAGACUCCUACGGGAGGCAGCAGUGGGGAAUAUUGGACAAUGGGGGCAACCCUGAUCCAGCAAUGCCGCGUGUGUGAAGAAGGCCUUCGGGUUGUAAAGCACUUUUAUCAGGAACGAAACACGCAAGGUAAAUACCCUUGCGGACUGACGGUACCUGAGGAAUAAGCACCGGCUAACUUCGUGCCAGCAGCCGCGGUAAUACGAAGGGUGCAAGCGUUACUCGGAAUUACUGGGCGUAAAGGGUGCGUAGGUGGUUUUUUAAGUCCGUUGUGAAAUCCCUGGGCUCAACCUGGGAAUGGCAGUGGAUACUGGAAAGCUAGAGUGCGGUAGAGGGUAGUGGAAUUCCCGGUGUAGCAGUGAAAUGCGUAGAGAUCGGGAGGAACACCAGUGGCGAAGGCGGCUACCUGGACCAGCACUGACACUGAAGCACGAAAGCGUGGGGAGCAAACAGGAUUAGAUACCCUAGUAGUCC